This 497-nucleotide ribosomal RNA is filed under the name uncultured bacterium. RNAcentral describes it as "partial 16S ribosomal RNA". It matches the Rfam family "Bacterial small subunit ribosomal RNA", at positions 28 to 507 of the family's 1533-position model. The record is from RNAcentral.
GAUGAACGCUGGCGGCGUGCCUAAUACAUGCAAGUCGAGCGAACAGACGAGGAGCUUGCUCCUCUGACGUUAGCGGCGGACGGGUGAGUAACACGUGGAUAACCUACCUAUAAGACUGGGAUAACUUCGGGAAACCGGAGCUAAUACCGGAUAAUAUAUUGAACCGCAUGGUUCAAUAGUGAAAGACGGUUUUGCUGUCACUUAUAGAUGGAUCCGCGCCGCAUUAGCUAGUUGGUAAGGUAACGGCUUACCAAGGCGACGAUGCGUAGCCGACCUGAGAGGGGGAUCGGCCACACUGGAACUGAGACACGGUCCAGACUCCUACGGGAGGCAGCAGUAGGGAAUCUUCCGCAAUGGGCGAAAGCCUGACGGAGCAACGCCGCGUGGGUGAUGAAGGUCUUCGGAUCGUAAAACCCUUUUAUUAGGGAAGAACAAAAGUUGAAGUAACUAUGCACGUCUUGACGGUACCUAAUCAGAAAGCCACGGCUAACUACGUG